GAAAUUUUAGCUUAACUAAAGCGUUUGGUUUGCAAUCAGAAGAUGUAAGUAAUUAUUACAAGUUUUC
This 67-nucleotide transfer RNA is filed under the name Eptatretus burgeri (inshore hagfish). It matches the Rfam family "tRNA". From Rfam's summary of the family: Transfer RNA (tRNA) molecules are approximately 80 nucleotides in length. Their secondary structure includes four short double-helical elements and three loops (D, anti-codon, and T loops). The record is from Rfam by way of RNAcentral. Lineage: Eukaryota; Metazoa; Chordata; Myxini; Myxiniformes; Myxinidae.